UGAGGGGUGGGACCUGGCCGAAUCCCCUUGCGGCUUGCCUGAGGGCUUCCUUUGUUCCCGCUGAGCGGAAGUCAGCGCUGCCAACGGAGGCGCGGCGAAGGUGUUAAGCGGUGCUGGCUUUCUUUGCGCUAGGCAUAUACGACUGACAGCCUCUUCAUCUGAUCCUGAAAUGCAAACAGAGAUGUCGAAAGCUGUGAUACCAGAUGCAGAGCUGCGGUUCACCCAGCUGUGAGUUUGCAGUCCACGGGAAGUUGGUGACUAGGAGGGACAACAGCAGGCUGGCACCAUAAAAGGAGGCACUGAAACUGCUGAAGCCUUCUCAGGGGCCCUGAUGAGGCAAGGCAGGAACUGGAAUCGGGCCCCCUCACCCCUAACCACAGAAUCCAGUGUUCUGCUGCUAGGUCUGCAGAAGAGCUAAGCCAACUAACCCCUGAGUAAUAGAGCUCAGGAGGGGACAGUCACCUAAAAUGGAAGCUCGCUGGCAGAACAGGAACAAACCAGUCUGCACUAAGAUAGAUGCCAACGCUGACCUUUCACCGACUUUGUCCGCCAUUACAAUACUAAAAAUCAUGCCCAGGAGUGGAGAUUUCACAGGCUAAUUAGACGUGCGAGGCAAGAAGCAGCAUGACCUUUAAGUGGAAAAAACAAACAAUCCUUGCUCCUACAUGUUUAGACAUUACCCUUUUCCCACCUAAGUCUCUAUCAGGCUCUCUGGGAGACUUCUCCUCUGGGAGCCAGCCUAAAGACUCUCCUUUGUGUUGUCUCUCCUGUGCUGGAGCACAAGCCCCAGUAAAGGCUUGUCUGGAACUCUC
Long non-coding RNA from Acinonyx jubatus (cheetah), 812 nucleotides. RefSeq lists it as uncharacterized. The transcript is spliced from 2 exons. Lineage: Eukaryota; Metazoa; Chordata; Mammalia; Carnivora; Felidae. The record is from RefSeq and is a predicted model, not a curated record.